This is a long non-coding RNA of Ictalurus furcatus (blue catfish), 1109 nucleotides long. RefSeq lists it as uncharacterized. Lineage: Eukaryota; Metazoa; Chordata; Actinopteri; Siluriformes; Ictaluridae. The transcript is spliced from 3 exons. The record is from RefSeq and is a predicted model, not a curated record.
UCUACCUUCUAUUCAUUUUUAACUUCCUCGCGAGCGUCCUCUAUCGGGAAUAAAACCCGGAUGAAUGUGAAAAAAACGCCACAGCAACAGCAACCCGGAAGUCAGAGUUCUGAUGUAGUUCUCACAUAUUUUCACUAGAGGGCGAAAGCUUCGUUUGCAAAACGGUCGCCAUGGAAACGCAAAGCGCUUCGUGAACCGUCGCUUUUGUCCAAUGGGAGCCGCUCUCAUUCAGUGACGUUACGAGCGCGCUCUUCUAGCAGUGACACGCCGCUUGUGCGGGCUCUGCAAAGAGAAAGUGGAGAGGAAGCGCGUGCACGGGUGCUGUAAGGUGAGCUACGAGGAUGUGCAACAGCAAUGAAUCUCCUAGGCCAAGACAAGGACAAGUCGUCACUUGAAUCUCACUUUUAAAACCGCUGUUUAAUCAAGAUGACUGACGAUUAAAGGAGUUUAUUUUGGUGUUGGAUAUGAUGGAGGUAGGACCAGAAACCUGCCAGAACUUCAACAGCCGUCAGCAGCAGCAGAGACGAGCUGCGACUCACACUCUGGAAGAGCAAAAAAAAGAAUAUUUAAGCAGCUCUCCCAUCUGUUCUUGCAUUGGAGUGCCUGUUCUUAUGGACUGUGUUCCUCCAUACCCCGUUGUACCUAACAGCUGGGAGGGCAGCAAUCGGCCGAGCUUUGAUGAAGCCUUGCUCCGUGGUGGCUGUCACACUGAUUAGCUAAUUUGCCGUGAUAAAUGAGGCCGAUUGGGCCUAACGAAUCGCCGGGUGUUGGAAAGGCUUUGCAUGCACGGGGACCUGAGUAUCCAGAGCUUGCAGACCGUGACACCAGCAACCUCGGACCUAAUCCCUGCUAGCAACCCCCUACUGAGGGAUCAAUUUGCAUUAAAUAAGUGCUGGAUCACUGACGACCUAUGGUAUGGUACGUUUAUAUGGUUGGUGCAAUACCCGUGCAAUUAAAGGAAAAAAAAAUUACAUUUACGUACUGUACAUUUCUGUGUCCAUAUAGACUCAAUGUAGUUGUUCAGCCCAAAUUCAUUAAUUCCUAGGCUUAUCUCACUCCUAAAGCUUUUCUCUAAAUAUUAACCACAGUACUGCUUUCUAUAAUUGAAC